GCUAUUCUUUCUUUUUUUACCACAGACAACUUUAUAUUGAGCUGUGAUUUCUCAGGUCUUGUUGGUCAGUACACCUCAAUAUCGUCUCCUUAGGUCAGGAUUCCUCAGGCUGGCUCCCCUUAAGCCAACUAAGAAAGCUAGGAAAUCCAACCAGAUUAAUAAUAAAACAUCCUGUUGGUGUUCAAACUCCCCCAAACCCCGGGUCAAGCUGAUUGUGGGUCAUGAAGUUUCUGCAGCGUCCCUGGGAAGCCAGAGGACCGGCUGAGUCACGCCAACCCAACGGGAACAUGCACAUCACAUGGAGUCCACGCAGGACUCCACGGCCCUCCCCAAAGCCCUGUCCCGUGCUGAGGUGGACGCUUCCUCAGAUCCCCGGCAAUUCAACAAGAGCCACAGCAAACAGACACAAACGCACGUCUGGCCAGUGAGCUUGCUCGCCUGACUCCACAGCCGCUUUGACUUUGAGACCCCCCACAGGGUAACAGGAAGGCAGUGGUCACUGUCUCCAGGUGGCUAGAGCGAGGCUCAGCAAGCCCCUCGGCAGGAGGUGGUUUCUCCAGAACCUGCACAGGCUGGUCGAUCACUGUUCUGUCUCUUGGGCCUACCCAGACCAGGCCAGCCGUGACCUCUGAGUGGCCUGUGGCAGACCGGGGUGUGCCGGGCGAUUUGCACACUCACUGGCUGCAGAACGGCUCUCUUCGAGGGAGGAACAGAUGUUUUUUCCUUCUGCAACUGAAUCAUGUGUGAACGAUGCCCUAUGUGAAGGCGCUUGUGCUCCAGGCCCUUCUGUGACCAUCCACGGGGGACCCUUCCAUUCCAGGAAGAGGGGCAAGACCUGGGGACCACCUCUGUCACCUGGGAGCAUGAUCAGGCAGCCUGGUUUUUCUCAAGCUCGGUUUCUGAGCAGUUUUGAUGGGAACCUGAUCCCUCCUCUCCCUUCUUCAAGUCCCCUUCCUCACCGGCCUGGACUGGAGAGCUGAGCUCUUUCUUGUGCGGGGAGGAUGUCGGACGGAGACAAACUCCACUCUGACACAUUGCAGCAAAUUUGAAUAAUUUAUUGUGACAAGGAGCGGCGCCCUCCUCCUUUGAGUUUAGCUGGGAAACUCUGAGAUUCCCGAGCCUUGGCUACACUGCAGCGCAGGGGUCCAGGCUGCCCCUGCUUGGUGUGAGAUCCUGCAGGAAGCUGGAUCCUCCCUCUAGGAGGGCUUUGCCCCCUCCUGUUGGCUCCCCCACUAGAAAGGUGCAAAGGUCACACACUGCCAGCUCAGCAUGUCCUGCCAGGCCAGGCCAGUGCAAAGUCCACCUUCACCCUGGCUGGGCCAUGUCCUGAGGCCCAGUGAGCAUCACCAGUCUCCACAGCGAUGAGGCUGAGGGCAGCCCGCCCUCGUGGAGAGAUCUGCCGUGAGGGGUCUUCUCUCUGCAGACUGAGCCCUCCCUGCCUGUGUGGCCCAGGCCUGUCAGGAGGGACGCUCCCAGCCUAUGGUGCCGCAGCCCACAACCCCUGACUCCUGACUCUGCCCCCUCGCUGUCUGCAGCAUCACCUGCUUGGCAGCUGGGUGUGGGUGGUGGCUCUGGGUGAGCUGGGCUGGCCCUGCUGUUGGGUGUGGCCACAGGUGGGGAGCUCCGGGUGCCUCUCACCCUCCUUGAACCAAAGUCUCCUCAAAGUCAAUCGCAGAAGAAUGAGAUCAGGUAAAGCUGCCGAUGCUGGCCGGAGCGAGUCCCCUGACCAGUCUCAAGACCUGUGGGCAGAAAAGGAGCUGGAGGCACUCGCUGACCCCCCCGCAUUCCGCUGGUGCGUCCAUUGCAAUAUUGUAGGGGCCCUUGGCCUCUGAGACCCAUGGAAAUGACCUGGGCGAGCCCUGGUUCUGCUGCACAAAGACACGCUCAGAAAGAUUGGCUUCAGCUGGCCCGCCGAGGGUAAAGCACCCCAGAUCACAGCACAAACACACAUGCACAGACAAUCACCUGCAUGUUGAAGAGACACCUUCCACAUCUGAGGGGGAGCUUGUGCUGCGUGAUACUCCAUGAGAAAGCGCUACCAAACCCACAGGUGCUGGAGUCAUGCUCGAUUCUGCUCAGUUGAAAUCGCAAUGAAAACUUAAUUUUGCUCUAGAUGUGAGAGAAUAAACUGACUCUCAUGCCCUCCUACAUUCUGAAAGAUAGUUCCUGAAACCAGGCUUCAUGUCGCUGUUGAUUUUGGAUCCUGGAGCCCUGUUUGCUUUGGAUCUUUAGGUGGAUCUACUUUAAGUGAAUAAUGAAGACUUUCUGAAUAGAGGUCAGAGAUUAGGCUCUGAGACAAGGAUACCUGGGUCCCGGUUCCCACCUCCUGUGAUAGCUGUGUGAUUGGGGGUGUGCUACUUCACCCCUCUCUGGCUCUUUCCUCGUCCGUCCACUGCUCCUUGAAGGGAAUGCAUUAGAUCAGGUUUUCAGAGCAAGCACAACACUUAGCCUGCAUCAUCACUCAACAAAUGACGGCUAUCAAGAUGAUUAGCCCAUUCACCUCUGCAGCUUAACCUGUGCUCUGUGCUAUUUUAUGUAUUAUUUCAGAAGAGCUAAUUGAAGUAAGUUCACAAGAUUAAGCAAACAAGAAGAAUCAAAGCUGCCCAUAUAUUUGGAGAAAAAAUUUUGCCUGCUUUUCUGCAACUUUCUAGAUACAGCAUUUAAAAGGAAAAUAUAAACAAAUAAUGCUAUUUAUGCAAAAAUUAACCAGCACUGAUGGGCUAUAAUUAAACUCACACAGCUCCCAAGCAUCUGGGGCAAGACUCGGGGGUGCUUUGAGAAACAUGAAGUACUAUGAAAGACAUACCCUCCUGGCCACCUGCACACACACCAAUACAGGAAGGGCACAGGAGCUGCCCCAGGUGAAGAGAUGCCGCUCUAGAGAAGCAGGAGGGUAAGAAGGAGAACAGACAGAGGGCAGAGGAGGGGCUCACUGGUUUUAAAACUCUCUUUUUCAAAGGUAUCAGGAUCCAUUCUGUAUUCUGUGGCAUUGAAAUUCAAAUAAAUCAGUCUAAGUACAAAAGUUAAUUAUGUGAGCAGGUGACUGCAAAGCUUUCAGGGACAUAAAUGUGUUUAUAGGUCCUGCCACAGAGAAGUGCCCAAGAAGACACACUCCAUGUGCCCUCAGUUCAGCAGGGUAUGAAGUGCCUGGCAGCCUGUUGCAGGUGAAGAGCCCUGUGGGUGGAGGACACGAGAUGCAGG
Molecule: long non-coding RNA, 3201 nt
Filed under: Marmota monax (woodchuck)
Lineage: Eukaryota; Metazoa; Chordata; Mammalia; Rodentia; Sciuridae
Source: RNAcentral